ACGAAGGGUGCAAGCGUUAAUCGGAAUUACUGGGCGUAAAGGGUGCGUAGGCGGUUCGUUAAGUCUGUUGUGAAAUCCCCGGGCUCAACCUGGGAAUGGCAAUGGAUACUGGCGAGCUAGAGUGUGUCAGAGGAUGGUGGAAUUCCCGGUGUAGCGGUGAAAUGCGUAGAUAUGUGGAGGAAUACCGAUGGCGAAGGCAGCCCCCUGGGAUAACACUGACGCUCAUGCACGAAAGCGUGGGGAGCAAACAGGA
RNAcentral lists this ribosomal RNA (253 nucleotides) under uncultured prokaryote. RNAcentral describes it as "partial 16S ribosomal RNA". It matches the Rfam family "Bacterial small subunit ribosomal RNA", at positions 525 to 777 of the family's 1533-position model. The record is from RNAcentral.